RNAcentral lists this ribosomal RNA (498 nucleotides) under uncultured bacterium. RNAcentral's name for it is "partial 16S ribosomal RNA". It matches the Rfam family "Bacterial small subunit ribosomal RNA", at positions 30 to 523 of the family's 1533-position model. The record is from RNAcentral.
AUUGAACGCUGGCGGCAUGCCUUACACAUGCAAGUCGAACGGUAACAGGUCUUCGGAUGCUGACGAGCGGCGAACGGGUGAGUAAUACAUCGGAACGUGCCUAGCAGUGGGGGAUAACUACUCGAAAGAGUGGCUAAUACCGCAUGAGAUCUACGGAUGAAAGCAGGGGAUCGUAAGACAUCGUGAUACCAGAGCGGCCGAUGGCAGAUUAGGGAGUUGGUGGGAUAAAAGCUUACCAAGCCGACGAUCUGUAGCUGGUCUGAGAGGACGAUCAGCCACACUGGGACUGAGACACGGCCCAGACUCCUACGGGAGGCAGCAGUGGGGAAUUUUGGACAAUGGGCGCAAGCCUGAUCCAGCAAUGCCGCGUGCAGGAUGAAGGCCUUCGGGUUGUAAACUGCUUUUGUACGGAACGAAAAGCCCCGGGUUAAUACCCUGGGGUCAUGACGGUACCGUAAGAAUAAGCACCGGCUAACUACGUGCCAGCAGCCGCCGCAG